RNAcentral lists this ribosomal RNA (394 nucleotides) under uncultured bacterium. RNAcentral's name for it is "partial 16S ribosomal RNA". It matches the Rfam family "Bacterial small subunit ribosomal RNA", at positions 523 to 918 of the family's 1533-position model. The record is from RNAcentral.
AUACGUAGGGGACGAGCGUUGUCCGGAAUUACUGGGCGUAAAGGGCGCGCAGGCGGAUAUUUAAGUCAGCUGUAAAAGGCAUGAGCUCAACUCAUGUAUGCGGUUGAAACUGGGUAUCUAGAGUGCUGGAGAGGUAGGCGGAACUCCCGGUGUAGCGGUGAAAUGCGUAGAUAUCGGGAAGAACACCAGUGGCGAAGGCGGCUUACUGGCCAGCAACUGACGCUGAGGCGCGAAAGCCAGGGGAGCGAACGGGAUUAGAUACCCCGGUAGUCCUGGCCGUAAACGAUGAAUGCUAGGUGUGGGUGUCGAGAGGCAUCCGUGCCGGAGUUAACGCGAUAAGCAUUCCGCCUGGGGAGUACGAUCGCAAGAUUAAAACUCAAAUGAAUUGACGGGG